This 125-nucleotide ribosomal RNA is filed under the name Pteropus alecto (black flying fox). The record is from RNAcentral. Lineage: Eukaryota; Metazoa; Chordata; Mammalia; Chiroptera; Pteropodidae.
GUCUACGGCCAUGCCACCCUGAACAAGCCUGAUCCCAUCUGAUCUCGGAAGCUAAGCAGGGUCGGGCCUGGUUAGCACUUGGAUGGGAGACCACCUGGGAAGACCACCUUAUUUAUUUGUUGGUU